This 75-nucleotide transfer RNA is filed under the name Pseudomonadota bacterium. Its description in RNAcentral is "tRNA-Pro". It matches the Rfam family "tRNA". Rfam says of the family: Transfer RNA (tRNA) molecules are approximately 80 nucleotides in length. Lineage: Bacteria; Pseudomonadati; Pseudomonadota. RNAcentral also lists the same sequence under 2 other names. The record is from RNAcentral.
CGGGGCGUAGCGCAGCCUGGUUAGCGCGCAUGCCUUGGGCGCAUGAGGUCGGAGGUUCAAAUCCUCUCGCCCCGA